RNAcentral lists this transfer RNA (72 nucleotides) under Toxocara canis (dog roundworm). It matches the Rfam family "tRNA". From Rfam's summary of the family: Transfer RNA (tRNA) molecules are approximately 80 nucleotides in length. Their secondary structure includes four short double-helical elements and three loops (D, anti-codon, and T loops). The record is from Rfam by way of RNAcentral. Lineage: Eukaryota; Metazoa; Nematoda; Chromadorea; Rhabditida; Toxocaridae.
CGAGCAGUAGCUCAGUGGUACAGCUCCCGCUUCGUGUCCGGGAAGGCCUGGGUUCGAUUCCCGGCUGCUUAC